UACGUAGGGUGCGAGCGUUGUCCGGAAUUACUGGGCGUAAAGAGCUCGUAGGUGGUUUGUCGCGUUGUCCGUGAAAAACUCACAACUCAAUUGUGGGCGUGCGGGCGAUACGGGCAGACUGGAGUACUGCAGGGGAGACUGGAAUUCCUGGUGUAGCGGUGGAAUGCGCAGAUAUCAGGAGGAACACCGGUGGCGAAGGCGGGGUCUCUGGGCAGUAACUGACGCUGAGGAGCGAAAAGCGUGGGGGAGCGAACAGG
This 257-nucleotide ribosomal RNA is filed under the name uncultured bacterium. Its description in RNAcentral is "partial 16S ribosomal RNA". It matches the Rfam family "Bacterial small subunit ribosomal RNA", at positions 524 to 776 of the family's 1533-position model. The record is from RNAcentral.